This 762-nucleotide ribosomal RNA is filed under the name Triticum aestivum (bread wheat). RNAcentral's name for it is "partial small subunit ribosomal RNA". Lineage: Eukaryota; Viridiplantae; Streptophyta; Magnoliopsida; Poales; Poaceae. The record is from RNAcentral.
AUGGUUAAUGAAGGUAUUGUCUUGGGGCACAAAGUUUCUGAAAGAGGUAUUGAGGUUGAUAAAGCCAAGGUUGAUGCUAUUGAGAAGAUGUCAUGUCCCAAGGACAUCAAAGGUAUAAGAAGUCUCCUUGGUCAUGCCGGAUUUUAUAGGAGGUUCAUUAAGGACUUCUCAAAAAUUUCUCAGCCUUUGACUAAUUUAUUACAAAAAGAUAUACCAUUUGUUUUUUAUGAUGAUUGUGUAGAAGCAUUUGAAAUACUUAAGAAAGCAUUGAUCUCUGCACCUAUUGUUCAGCCACCUGAUUGGAAUUUACCCUUUGAAAUUAUGUGUGAUGCUAGUGAUUAUGUUGUAGGUGUUGUUCUAGGGCAAAGAGAUGAUAAUAAAUUAAAUGUUAUUCAAUAUGCUAGUAAAACCCUAGACAAUGCUCAAAGAAAUUAUGCUACCACUGAAAAAGAAUUCUUAGCAGUUGUAUUUGCUUGUGAUAAGUUCAGACCUUAUAUUGUUGAUUCUAAAGUAACUAUUCACACUGAUCAUGCUGCUAUUAAAUAUCUUAUGGAAAAGAAAGAUGCUAAACCUAGACUUAUUAGAUGGGUUAUCUUGCUACAAGAAUUUGACUUACAUAUUGUUGAUAAAAAGGGAGCUGAGAACCCCGUUGCAGACAACUUGUCUAGGUUAGAAAAUGUGCUUGAUGACCCACUUCCUAUUGAUGAUAGCUUUCCUGAUGAGCAAUUAAAUGUCAUAAAUGCUUCUCAUACUGCUCCAUGA